CGUGCCUAACACAUGCAAGUCGAGCGGUAGCAGGUCUAGUUUACUAGAUGCUGACAAGCGGCGGACGGGUGAGUAACGCGUGGGAACGUGCCCUUUGGUACGGAAUAGCCCCGGGAAACUGGGAGUAAUACCGUAUGUGCCCUUCGGGGGAAAGAUUUAUCGCCAAAGGAUCGGCCCGCGUUGGAUUAGGUAGUUGGUGGGGUAAUGGCCUACCAAGCCGACGAUCCAUAGCUGGUUUGAGAGGAUGAUCAGCCACACUGGGACUGAGACACGGCCCAGACUCCUACGGGAGGCAGCAGUGGGGAAUCUUAGACAAUGGGGGAAACCCUGAUCUAGCCAUGCCGCGUGAUCGAUGAAGGCCUUAGGGUUGUAAAGAUCUUUCAGUGGGGAAGAUAAUGACUGUACCCACAGAAGAAGCCCCGGCUAACUCCGUGCCAGCCGCCGCUGUAA
This 450-nucleotide ribosomal RNA is filed under the name uncultured bacterium. Its description in RNAcentral is "partial 16S ribosomal RNA". It matches the Rfam family "Bacterial small subunit ribosomal RNA", at positions 43 to 523 of the family's 1533-position model. The record is from RNAcentral.